Molecule: ribosomal RNA, 429 nt
Filed under: Ranitomeya variabilis (Zimmermann's poison frog)
Lineage: Eukaryota; Metazoa; Chordata; Amphibia; Anura; Dendrobatidae
Also listed under: 1 other name
Description: partial 16S ribosomal RNA
Rfam family: Bacterial large subunit ribosomal RNA
Source: RNAcentral
UAGCGUAAUCACUUGUUCUUUAAUUGAGGACUAGUAUGAACGGCCCCACGAGGACUACACUGUCUCCUUUUUCUAAUCAAUGAAACUGAUCUCCUCGUGAAGAAGCGAGGAUAAAUAUAUAAGACGAGAAGACCCUAUGGAGCUUUAAACAACCGAGGUACCUGCUAAUUCUUGAUCUAUUUUCUGAAAACCAAACAAAUUUAAGCAUCUUACCUCUAGUUUUAGGUUGGGGUGACCACGGAGAAAAAAUUAACCUCCACGCUGCAAGAAGCCUCCCAUCUUCUAAGCUAAGAAUUACAUCUCUAAGCAUCAACACAUUGACUCCCAUUGACCCAAUAGCUUUGAUCAACGAACCAAGUUACCCUAGGGAUAACAGCGCAAUCUACUUUAAGAGCUCAUAUCGACAAGUAGGUUUACGACCUCGAUGUU